RNAcentral lists this ribosomal RNA (519 nucleotides) under uncultured bacterium. Its description in RNAcentral is "bacterial SSU rRNA". It matches the Rfam family "Bacterial small subunit ribosomal RNA", at positions 8 to 524 of the family's 1533-position model. The record is from RNAcentral.
AGAGUUUGAUCCUGGCUCAGAUUGAACGCUGGCGGCAUGCCUUACACAUGCAAGUCGAGCGGCAGCGCGGGGCAACCUGGCGGCGAGCGGCGAACGGGUGAGUAAUGCAUCGGAACGUGACCUGAGGUGUGGGAUAACCUAUCGAAAGGUAGGCUAAUACCGCAUGAGCUCGGAAGAGGAAAGGGGGGGAUCGCAAGACCUCUCGCCUUAGGGGCGGCCGAUGUCCGAUUAGGUAGUUGGUGGGGUAAAGGCCUACCAAGCCUGCGAUCGGUAGCUGGUCUGAGAGGAUGAUCAGCCACACUGGGACUGAGACACGGCCCAGACUCCUACGGGAGGCAGCAGUGGGGAAUUUUGGACAAUGGGGGCAACCCUGAUCCAGCCAUGCCGCGUGAGUGAAGAAGGCCUUCGGGUUGUAAAGCUCUUUCGGCGGGAACGAAAGCGCCACCUCUAAUACGGGUGGUGUAUGACGGUACUCGCAGAAGAAGCACCGGCUAACUACGUGCCAGCAGCCGCGGUAAU